UACGGAGGAUGCAAGCGUUAUCCGGAUUCAUUGGGUUUAAAGGGUGCGUAGGCGGGCUAUUAAGUCAGUGGUGAAAUCCUGCAGCUUAACUGCAGAACUGCCGUUGAUACUGAUAGUCUUGAGUUUGGUUAAGGUAGGCGGAAUGUGUAAUGUAGCGGUGAAAUGCUUAGAUAUUACACAGAACACCAAUUGCGUAGGCAGCUUACUGAGCAGACACUGACGCUGAGGCACGAAAGCGUGGGGAUCAAACA
RNAcentral lists this ribosomal RNA (251 nucleotides) under uncultured prokaryote. Its description in RNAcentral is "partial 16S ribosomal RNA". It matches the Rfam family "Bacterial small subunit ribosomal RNA", at positions 524 to 774 of the family's 1533-position model. The record is from RNAcentral.